This 448-nucleotide ribosomal RNA is filed under the name uncultured Chloroflexota bacterium. RNAcentral describes it as "bacterial SSU rRNA". It matches the Rfam family "Bacterial small subunit ribosomal RNA", at positions 923 to 1382 of the family's 1533-position model. The record is from RNAcentral. Lineage: Bacteria; Bacillati; Chloroflexota.
GCACAAGCAGCGGAGCGUGUGGUUUAAUCGAUGCAACGCGAAGAACCUUUACCGAGGCUUGACAUGCCAGAAGUAGGAACUCGAAAGAGAGACCACCUGUAUCCAGUCAGGAACUGGCACAGGUGCUGCAUGGCUGUCGUCAGCUCGUGCCGUGAGGUGUUAGGUUUAAGUCCUGCAACGAGCGCAACCCUCGUCGCUAGUUAAAUUUUCUAGCGAUACUGCCCGUAAAACGAGGAGGAAGGUGGGAUGACGUCAAGUCAGCAUGGCCCUUACGCCUUGGGCUACACACACGCUACAAUGGGUGAUACAACGGGUUGCGAGAGAGCGAUCUGGAGCUAAUCCCUAAAAUCAUCCUCAGUUCGGAUUGCAGGCUGAAACUGCCUGCAUGAAGUUGGAGUUGCUAGUAACCGCAGGUCAGCACACUGCGGUGAAUACGUUCUCGGGCCUU